AGGGUUUAGUGUAAUAAGAUAUCUCUUUAAUUGCUUAUGAAAAUUAGAACAAUUUUUAUAUCAUCAGUUCUCACUGACUGUUCACAACCCCACUGAAGACCAAGACUGGUGAUGUGUUCCUUCGCAGAUACCUUGCCUGAAACUAGCUAAUCUCAUGUGUUCCCUAAUACAUUUUCCCAGAUUCUCAUAUCCAUCAAAAACAAAUGCUAUUCCAACGUGGUGAAAACUCUGUGGACUAUCUGCCAUCUCUGAACAGCACUGGUGGGCCAUGUAGGCAUUGGGCAGUUGCUUUGGGAUGCAUCUACACAAAAUUAAUCUCCUGACCCAUCUCUACUUAGAGUAUAUUUGUUCAUAUUGUGGAACAGCCUCAGAGCUCCAGAAGCACCUCUUUUUGGGUGAAGCAAAACUGGAAGAUGCACACUCCAAGAGCUUCCCUUCUGCGCUUUAACCAUGAAAGAAUGCUCAGUCCACUGGAGUCUACCCAAGAAUACUCUACCUGUUCCUGUUGAGACUGGGACUACUUACUGUACAAGAUUUGCGGAGACCAGAGAAAAAGACACACCUGUAUUUGACAUUGCGGUGAUCUGGUGCGAGUGAGUGAGUGGAUCUGAGAGUGAAGAGUGCCACCAUCAGGACGACUGGCCAAAUGGAAGGAAGUUUUGUGAAGGCUGGUUUCUCUCUCCUUUCCCAACUUCACAGUAUACUUGUGAAAAUACUCUCUCAGAUUCUCUUAUCUAAUCCUACCUGAGCAAUCAGACAAAGUUGAUUGAUGGGGUUAUUUAUAGGAGGUGGAGAUUUUCCUGAAACCUCACACUCCUGUUACUCUCCCUGUGUCAGAGCACAUGCGGUUGUUUGAGGUUUCACAUUUUUCUGCUUAUGGUCUCUAUUGCCUUUUGAGUUUUUCACACAAUGGCAACUAAAACAUAGAAUCAUCACCACAGAAUCACAGAAUGGUUUGGGUUGGAAGGGACCUUAAAGCUCAUCCAGUUCACCCCACCAUGGGCAGGGACACCUUCCACUAGAGCAGGUUGCUCCAAGCCCCUGUGUCCAACCUGGCCUUGAACACUGCCAGGGAUGGGGCAGCCACAGCUUCUCUGGGCACCCUGUGCCAGUGUCUCACCACCCUCACACUAGAGAACUUCUUUCUAGUAUCUAAUCUAAAUCUCCCCUUGUCAGCUUAAAUCAAAAUCAAUCUUGGUUUGUUUUUGGUUUUGGUUCGGGUUGGUUUUUUUGAGUUUUUUUCUAGUCUUUGGACACAGCUUCCUUGGUUUCUUUUAUUGAUUAUCAAGACAAUACUAAUUGUUCCUUUAUUUAGUCUUGGAGUUCAGAGAAUGCAUGUCGAAGGCCACCUUAACCUCUCCGUUAACAACGUAUUGCAAGAUCUCAACAAACAUAGCAGUCUCGUUCUUCACAUUUCAUUCAUACUGGGACUUCUUGAACUCAGAGGUGUACAAACGUUUUUUUUUCUUUCAUGAAAUAAAUACUCAAUCAAAUAAGUGGAUUUCAUUAAAAAGUUCGUUAAAAGUGAAGCAUACUGCAACAAGCUGAGUAACAAACUAAAUCUUGCCUUGGGCAACAAGCAGAAUUUAUUUACUUUUUGUCCCUUUAUCUUCCAACCCUCUCAUGUCAGACUGUGAUGGAUGAAAAGAGUUUCCACACCAAGAUCUGAAUUCUCAGCAAAUUGCUGACAGCUGGUGUCAUUCCAAAUUAGAGAUAGGCUAUUACUAGGGAUCAGCUUAUUCCAUAAAUUUAGUCUUUUUGAUUACUUGCAAAUUAUUUGUGAAUUGGGUUUGAUUCUUCAUGUGCAUUUGUUUGUAACUGAUUUUUGUUUGAGAUACUGUUUGUGUGGAGAAAUGUUAAUCGCGUGGGAAAUUUGUUUAUCCCUGUAUGAGCUUUGUUUUUUAGAUAAUUCUUUUAACUAUUUUCAUUCUAAACAAAAGAGGUUAUUUUCUACUUAGCAUUUAUUCACUAGCAUUUAUUCACUCAAAAUUUUUGAGAUUUUUUUGUGAAAAAUUGGAAUUGUGACAGAGAGAUCUGCAAUAUGAACCAUUCGAGAAGUCUUCGUGAGCAAGGAUACUCAGCUCUGCCUCUGUGAGACAUUCCUGCAAAUGAAACCUGUCUAUCAAAUGCUUUAUGACUGAACAGUAGAGAAAGGUCACUGGUCACAGCAAGCACUACAGUAAAAGCACAUUUUCUUUGCAAGAACAUAUAUUCUUCAUUUGUGUAAUUCUA
Strigops habroptila (Kakapo) is the source of this 2232-nucleotide long non-coding RNA. RefSeq lists it as uncharacterized. The record is from RefSeq and is a predicted model, not a curated record. The transcript has 3 exons. NCBI's taxonomy places the organism in Eukaryota, Metazoa, Chordata, Aves, Psittaciformes, Psittacidae.